This 427-nucleotide ribosomal RNA is filed under the name uncultured bacterium. Its description in RNAcentral is "bacterial SSU rRNA". It matches the Rfam family "Bacterial small subunit ribosomal RNA", at positions 355 to 774 of the family's 1533-position model. The record is from RNAcentral.
UGGGGAAUUUUGGACAAUGGACGCAAGUCUGAUCCAGCCAUGCCGCGUGCGGGAAGAAGGCCUUCGGGUUGUAAACCGCUUUUGUCAGGGAAGAAACGAGUUUCUCUAAUACAGAGACUUAAUGACAGUACCUGAAGAAUAAGCACCGGCUAACUACGUGCCAGCAGCCGCGGUAAUACGUAGGGUGCAAGCGUUAAUCGGAAUUACUGGGCGUAAAGCGUGCGCAGGCGGUUAUGCAAGACAGAUGUGAAAUCCCCGGGCUCAACCUGGGAACUGCAUCUGUGACUGUAUAGCUAAAGUACGGCAGAGGGGGAUGGAAUUCCGCGUGUAGCAGUGAAAUGCGUAGAUAUGCGGAGGAACACCGAUGGCGAAGGCAAUCCCCUGGGCCUGUACUGACGCUCAUGCACGAAAGCGUGGGGAGCAAACA